This 263-nucleotide ribosomal RNA is filed under the name uncultured Peptostreptococcaceae bacterium. RNAcentral's name for it is "partial 16S ribosomal RNA". It matches the Rfam family "Bacterial small subunit ribosomal RNA", at positions 67 to 339 of the family's 1533-position model. Lineage: Bacteria; Bacillati; Bacillota; Clostridia; Peptostreptococcales; Peptostreptococcaceae. The record is from RNAcentral.
CGAUUCUCUUCGGAGAAGAGCGGCGGACGGGUGAGUAACGCGUGGGUAACCUGCCCUGUACACACGGAUAACAUACCGAAAGGUAUGCUAAUACAAGAUGACAUAAGAGAUUCGCAUGGAUUUCUUAUCAAAGCUUUUGCGGUAUGAGAUGGACCCGCGUCUGAUUAGCUAGUUGGUAAGGUAAUGGCUUACCAAGGCGACGAUCAGUAGCCGACCUGAGAGGGUGAUCGGCCACAUUGGAACUGAGACACGGUCCAAACUCC